GAUGAACGCUGGCGGCGUGCCUAAUACAUGCAAGUCGAGCGAACAGACGAGGAGCUUGCUCCUCUGACGUUAGCGGCGGACGGGUGAGUAACACGUGGAUAACCUACCUAUAAGACUGGGAUAACUUCGGGAAACCGGAGCUAAUACUGGAUAAUAUAUUGAACCGCAUGGUUCAAUAGUGAAAGACGGUUUUGCUGUCACUUAUAGAUGGAUCCGCGCCGCAUUAGCUAGUUGGUAAGGUAACGGCUUACCAAGGCGACGAUGCGUAGCCGACCUGAGAGGGUGAUCGGCCACACUGGAACUGAGACACGGCCCAGACUCCUACGGGAGGCAGCAGUAGGGAAUCUUCCGCAAUGGGCGAAAGCCUGACGGAGCAACGCCGCGUGAGUGAUGAAGGUCUUCGGAUCGUAAAACUCUGUUAUUAGGGAAGAACAAAUGUGUAAGUAACUAUGCACGUCUUGACGGUACCUAAUCAGAAAGCCACGGCUAACUACGUG
RNAcentral lists this ribosomal RNA (497 nucleotides) under uncultured bacterium. RNAcentral's name for it is "partial 16S ribosomal RNA". It matches the Rfam family "Bacterial small subunit ribosomal RNA", at positions 28 to 507 of the family's 1533-position model. The record is from RNAcentral.